Molecule: ribosomal RNA, 270 nt
Filed under: uncultured bacterium
Lineage: Bacteria
Description: partial 16S ribosomal RNA
Rfam family: Bacterial small subunit ribosomal RNA
Source: RNAcentral
CUGCCGGCGACCGGCGCACGGGUGAGUAACACGUAUGGAACCUGCCCGCAGCAGGGGGAUAAGCGGAAGAAAUUCCGUCUAAUACCGCGUAACAACGUUGGGAGGCAUCUCCCGAUGUUUAAAGAUUUAUCGGCUGCGGAUGGCCAUGCGGCGCAUUAGCUAGUCGGGCGGGGUAACGGCCCACCGAGGCGACGAUGCGUAGGGGUUCUGAGAGGAAGGUCCCCCACACUGGUACUGAGACACGGACCAGACUCCUACGGAAGGCAGCAG